Pseudophryne corroboree (corroboree frog) is the source of this 106-nucleotide small nuclear RNA. Lineage: Eukaryota; Metazoa; Chordata; Amphibia; Anura; Myobatrachidae. The record is from RefSeq and is a predicted model, not a curated record.
GUGGUCAGUUCGGCAGCGCAUGUACUGAAAAUGGUACGAUACAGAGAAGAUUAGCGUGGCCCCUGCAAAAGGAUGCCACGCAAAUCAUGCAGCGUUCCAUAUUUAC